This 1446-nucleotide ribosomal RNA is filed under the name uncultured marine bacterium ZD0209. Its description in RNAcentral is "16S ribosomal RNA". It matches the Rfam family "Bacterial small subunit ribosomal RNA". Lineage: Bacteria; Pseudomonadati; Pseudomonadota; Alphaproteobacteria. The record is from RNAcentral.
AGAGUUUGAUCAUGGCUCAGAAUGAACGCUGGCGGCAUGCCUAACACAUGCAAGUCGAAUGAGAUCUUCGGAUCUAGUGGCGCACGGGUGAGUAACGCGUGGGAACCUACCUUUUAGUACGGGACAACGUUUGGAAACGAACGCUAAUACCGUAUACGCCCUCCGGGGGAAAGGUCAGCCGCUAAAAGAGGGGCCCGCGUCUGAUUAGCUUGUUGGUAAGGUAAUGGCUUACCAAGGCUACGAUCAGUAGCUGGUCUGAGAGGAUGAUCAGCCACACUGGGACUGAGACACGGCCCAGACUCCUACGGGAGGCAGCAGUGGGGAAUAUUGGACAAUGGAGGCAACUCUGAUCCAGCAAUGCCGCGUGUGUGAUGAAGGCCUUAGGGUUGUAAAGCACUUUCAACGGUGAAGAUGAUGACGGUAGCCGUAGAAGAAGCCCCGGCUAACUUCGUGCCAGCAGCCGCGGUAAUACGAAGGGGGCGAGCGUUAUUCGGAAUUAUUGGGCGUAAAGGGCUCGCAGGCUGCUUGAACAGUUAGACGUGAAAUCCCCGGGCUCAACCUGGGAACUGCGUUUAAUACUAGCAAGCUAGAGAAAUAGAGAGGAAAGUGGAACUCCCAGUGUAGAGGUGAAAUUCGUAGAUAUUGGGAAGAACACCAGUGGCGAAAGCGACUUUCUGGCUAUUUUCUGACGCUGAGGAGCGAAAGCGUGGGGAGCAAACAGGAUUAGAUACCCUGGUAGUCCACGCCGUAAACGAUGUGUGCUAGAUGUUGGAGGGAUACCUUUCAGUGUCGCAGCUAACGCACUAAGCACACCGCCUGGGAAGUACGGUCGCAAGAUUAAAACUCAAAGGAAUUGACGGGGGCCCGCCACAAGCGGUGGAGCAUGUGGUUUAAUUCGACGCAACGCGCAGAACCUUACCAGCCCUUGACAUGUGGAGUUUGGUUAUCAGAGAUGAUUUCCUUCAGUUCGGCUGGCUCCAACACAGGUGCUGCAUGGCUGUCGUCAGCUCGUGUCGUGAGAUGUUGGGUUAAGUCCCGCAACGAGCGCAACCCUCAUCUUUAGUUGCCAUCAGUUCGGCUGGGCACUCUAGAGAAACUGCCUGGGAUGACCAGGAGGAAGGCGAGGAUGACGUCAAGUCCUCAUGGCCCUUAUGGGCUGGGCUACACACGUGCUACAAUGGCGGUGACAAAGGGACGCAAUAGGGCAACCUGGAGCAAAUCCCUAAAAACCGUCUCAGUUCGGAUUGUUCUCUGCAACUCGAGAGCAUGAAGUUGGAAUCGCUAGUAAUCGUAGAUCAGCAUGCUACGGUGAAUACGUUCCCGGGCCUUGUACACACCGCCCGUCACACCAUGGGAGUUGGUUUUACCCGAAGACGGUAUCCUAACCUUUUAGGAGGGAGCCGGCCACGGUAGGGUCAGCGACUGGGGUGAAGUCGUAACAAGGUA